This 480-nucleotide ribosomal RNA is filed under the name Lactobacillus gasseri. Its description in RNAcentral is "bacterial SSU rRNA". It matches the Rfam family "Bacterial small subunit ribosomal RNA", at positions 28 to 474 of the family's 1533-position model. The record is from RNAcentral. Lineage: Bacteria; Bacillati; Bacillota; Bacilli; Lactobacillales; Lactobacillaceae.
GACGAACGCUGGCGGCGUGCCUAAUACAUGCAAGUCGAGCGAGCUUGCCUAGAUGAAUUUGGUGCUUGCACCAAAUGAAACUAGAUACAAGCGAGCGGCGGACGGGUGAGUAACACGUGGGUAACCUGCCCAAGAGACUGGGAUAACACCUGGAAACAGAUGCUAAUACCGGAUAACAACACUAGACGCAUGUCUAGAGUUUAAAAGAUGGUUCUGCUAUCACUCUUGGAUGGACCUGCGGUGCAUUAGCUAGUUGGUAAGGUAACGGCUUACCAAGGCAAUGAUGCAUAGCCGAGUUGAGAGACUGAUCGGCCACAUUGGGACUGAGACACGGCCCAAACUCCUACGGGAGGCAGCAGUAGGGAAUCUUCCACAAUGGACGCAAGUCUGAUGGAGCAACGCCGCGUGAGUGAAGAAGGGUUUCGGCUCGUAAAGCUCUGUUGGUAGUGAAGAAAGAUAGAGGUAGUAACUGCCUUUAUU